Molecule: ribosomal RNA, 1080 nt
Filed under: Achromobacter xylosoxidans
Lineage: Bacteria; Pseudomonadati; Pseudomonadota; Betaproteobacteria; Burkholderiales; Alcaligenaceae
Description: bacterial SSU rRNA
Rfam family: Bacterial small subunit ribosomal RNA
Source: RNAcentral
CAUGCGGGGGCUCCCUUAACAUGCAAGUCGAACGGCAGCACGGACUUCGGUCUGGUGGCGAGUGGCGAACGGGUGAGUAAUGUAUCGGAACGUGCCUAGUAGCGGGGGAUAACUACGCGAAAGCGUAGCUAAUACCGCAUACGCCCUACGGGGGAAAGCAGGGGAUCGCAAGACCUUGCACUAUUAGAGCGGCCGAUAUCGGAUUAGCUAGUUGGUGGGGUAACGGCUCACCAAGGCGACGAUCCGUAGCUGGUUUGAGAGGACGACCAGCCACACUGGGACUGAGACACGGCCCAGACUCCUACGGGAGGCAGCAGUGGGGAAUUUUGGACAAUGGGGGAAACCCUGAUCCAGCCAUCCCGCGUGUGCGAUGAAGGCCUUCGGGUUGUAAAGCACUUUUGGCAGGAAAGAAACGUCAUGGGUUAAUACCCCGUGAAACUGACGGUACCUGCAGAAUAAGCACCGGCUAACUACGUGCCAGCAGCCGCGGUAAUACGUAGGGUGCAAGCGUUAAUCGGAAUUACUGGGCGUAAAGCGUGCGCAGGCGGUUCGGAAAGAAAGAUGUGAAAUCCCAGAGCUUAACUUUGGAACUGCAUUUUUAACUACCGGGCUAGAGUGUGUCAGAGGGAGGUGGAAUUCCGCGUGUAGCAGUGAAAUGCGUAGAUAUGCGGAGGAACACCGAUGGCGAAGGCAGCCUCCUGGGAUAACACUGACGCUCAUGCACGAAAGCGUGGGGAGCAAACAGGAUUAGAUACCCCUGGUAGUCCACGCCCUAAACGAUGUCAACUAGCUGUUGGGGGCCCUUCGGGGCCUUAGUAGCGCAGCUAACGCGUGAAGUUGACCGCCUGGGGGAGUACGGUCGCAAGAUUAAAAACUCAAAGGAAAUUGACGGGGGACCCGCAACAAGCGGUGGAUGAAUGUGGAUUAAUUCGAUGCAAACGCGAAAAAAGCUUACCUACCCUUGGACAUGUCUGGAAAUUCCUGAAGAGAAUUUGGAAAGUGCUCGCUAAGAGAACCCGGCAACACAGGUUGCUGCAUGGUCUGUCCGUUCAGCUUCGUGUCGUGAGAAUGAUUGGGGGU